This is a non-coding RNA of Pelobates cultripes (western spadefoot toad), 148 nucleotides long. NCBI's taxonomy places the organism in Eukaryota, Metazoa, Chordata, Amphibia, Anura, Pelobatidae. The record is from the annotation of a GenBank genome assembly.
GAAAUACUCUUUUUUGAUUAGAAGGGUAUAGAGAUGAUAAGAGAUGUAUCUUGUUAGAUAUAUAUAUAUAUAUAUAUAUAUAUAUAUAUAUCUAACAAGAUACAUCUCUUAUCAUCUCUAUACCCUUCUAAUCAAAACAGAGUAUUUC